GAGAUCAGAGAAGAGACGAGAUGGGAACUCAAAAUCUGCCAAAUCAGAAUCUGUCCACACACACCGUCUUAAGAUGUUUACUUCAGUGUAUAUUCCGCUGGGUGAAGAUGUUGAAGUUUCCAGAAAACACACAGAUGUCUACACACGCUCCCGUGUGUGUGGGUCUCUACUGCAGGUCAAAGGUCAUGAUGAAACAGGACGUGGGAACAGGGCGGCAGGAAAUGGAGGCUGUUCCUCUGAGUGUUUAUCUGGCCAGAAAAACAACAGAAAGAAGGAGAAGAACAGAUGGAGAGAGACUGUUCUCUAGAGUAUUCUUACAUGACACACGUUUGAUUCAAUUAUCAUAAGUGUUUUUAUGUGGAAAUACAGAAUUGUGAACUGAA
Molecule: long non-coding RNA, 383 nt
Organism: Triplophysa dalaica
Lineage: Eukaryota; Metazoa; Chordata; Actinopteri; Cypriniformes; Nemacheilidae
Exons: 2
Source: RefSeq, a predicted model, not a curated record